UACGGAGGGGGCUAGCGUUGUUCGGAAUUACUGGGCGUAAAGCGCGUGUAGGCAGCUUGGCAAGUCGGGUGUGAAAGCCCUGGGCUCAACCUAGGAAGUGCACUCGAAACUGCUUCGCUUGAGUAUCGGAGAGGAAAGCGGAAUUCUCGGUGUAGAGGUGAAAUUCGUAGAUAUCGAGAGGAACACCAGUGGCGAAGGCGGCUUUCUGGACGAUUACUGACGCUGAGACGCGAAAGCGUGGGGAGCAAACAGG
RNAcentral lists this ribosomal RNA (253 nucleotides) under uncultured bacterium. RNAcentral's name for it is "partial 16S ribosomal RNA". It matches the Rfam family "Bacterial small subunit ribosomal RNA", at positions 524 to 776 of the family's 1533-position model. The record is from RNAcentral.